Molecule: ribosomal RNA, 497 nt
Filed under: uncultured bacterium
Lineage: Bacteria
Description: partial 16S ribosomal RNA
Rfam family: Bacterial small subunit ribosomal RNA
Source: RNAcentral
GAUGAACGCUGGCGGCGUGCCUAAUACAUGCCAGUCGAGCGAACGGACGAGAAGCUUGCUUCUCUGAUGUUAGCGGCGGACGGGUGAGUAACACGUGGAUAACCUACCUAUAAGACUGGGAUAACUUCGGGAAACCGGAGCUAAUACCGGAUGAUAUUUUGAACCGCAUGGUUCAAAAGUGAAAGACGGUCUUGCUGUCACUUAUAGAUGGAUCCGCGCUGCAUUAGCUAGUUGGUAAGGUAACGGCUUACCAAGGCAACGAUGCAUAGCCGACCUGAGAGGGUGAUCGGCCACACUGGAACUGAGACACGGUCCAGACUCCUACGGGAGGCAGCAGUAGGGAAUCUUCCGCAAUGGGCGAAAGCCUGCCGGAGCAACGCCGCGUGAGUGAUGAAGGUCUUCGGAUCGUAAAACUCUGUUAUUAGGGAAGAACAUAUGUGUAAGUAACUGUGCACAUCUUGACGGUACCUAAUCAGAAAGCCACGGCUAACUACGUG